AAAUUGUCCAUGAAUUGCUGUCUGUGCCUCAUUUUGAAUAGUUGCUGCAAGAUUCCUUUGCCAAUUAUGUCAUUCUGACAGUUACCAAGGGUUCCCUUCAUGCUGCACUGCUUGAAGCUGCUCGACCCCACUCUUUCUUACGAACUAGUCCAUAUUGUACGCGGAUUUUCUCUCGAAAUCUGUCAAAAAAGUGAUAAAAAUUCGUGCGUGGUGGCAAGUGUUGUUGCUCUCCCAAACUUACUAACCUGUUCACUAUUCAGAAGUUUUACUAUUUCUUGGGGGACUGGAUGUAGAAUAGCCUUCAAAAUUUGAAGCUGGUCCUCAAGAGAACCUUUGAAACUUAGUAUCUACGGAUGAUCUCUCCAUGAUUUUGAAGAACGUAAACUGGAAGUUUUUGCUCCUGGUUGUUUAUUUUGCUUAUACAACUUAUAUGUACUGUUC
This is a long non-coding RNA of Mangifera indica (mango), 441 nucleotides long. RefSeq lists it as uncharacterized. The record is from RefSeq and is a predicted model, not a curated record. The transcript is spliced from 2 exons. Lineage: Eukaryota; Viridiplantae; Streptophyta; Magnoliopsida; Sapindales; Anacardiaceae.